Molecule: transfer RNA, 68 nt
Filed under: Marmota monax (woodchuck)
Lineage: Eukaryota; Metazoa; Chordata; Mammalia; Rodentia; Sciuridae
Description: tRNA.Ala
Source: RNAcentral
GGAUUGUGGCUCAGUGGUAGAGUGCUUGCCUAGCAUGUGUGAGGCACCGAGUUCAAUUCUCAGCGCCA